Molecule: long non-coding RNA, 4616 nt
Organism: Harpia harpyja (harpy eagle)
Lineage: Eukaryota; Metazoa; Chordata; Aves; Accipitriformes; Accipitridae
Exons: 2
Source: RefSeq, a predicted model, not a curated record
CGCGCGGUGCGAGCGGGGGUGUCACCGGCACCGGGCGUCCGCCAGCAACACGGGGGCGGAACCGUAGGAGCCCCAGCAGGGGACGGGUAUCCCGGGCCGGGUGUCCGUGAGGGUGUUUAAAAGCUCCCCCAGGAGCGGGAGAAGGAGGUUUUCUUUGACCUUGGUCAGAUCUAAUCUGCAUCUUGAUCUGACUCUUGGUUGCAAUUAGAUUUAGGACCUCUGACCCCUCUGGUUUCUUGACAGAAUUAAAUCGUUAAAGAAAUAUUCUUCAAACUAGUGAGCACAAGAGAAGAAGCAUGCAGGUCUUCACACCUUUUGGUAGAAGCUGAAUAAAGCCAUAACGCCACCAUCUGUGAAAUGGUGGCAGUAGUAUUGAUCUGCUUAAUACUCAGUGCCCGAGAGCAUUAAAGAUGAGGAAUUUCAGAAAAGUGAAACAUCUGAUUAAUGGCUUAUACGUGUGAGCUUUGGAGAUGCCUAUCCGUAUGUUGUUAAAUGUGCUUUAUUCAGAUUUUUGCUUGUAUUCUUUGUACAAAACCUGUUAGCCAUUUGUGUGUACAAGGGAGGUUUGGCAGAUGCCCAGGGGUAGGCGAAGGGCUGUGUGGCUUGGAGCCAUCCGCCCUUAAGGUUUGACGUUGCUGGAAAGCUAGUCUUGGAAGAAAAUAGGCCCGUGCAAACAUGAGUCGAGGGGAAUAGGGAUGUUGGCUUAGUGACGCUGCUGCGUGUUGUCAGUGUAAAUAUUUUUAUUUAAUUCUUCUUUUGUUUCAACAAUAAAAGGGCAGAAUCAACUUGUACUCAAAAUACAAAAUUUCACUUAGAAGCCCAGAAUUGGCUGAGGCAAUUUACUGUGUGAUUUGGUUUUGUUUGCUCAUGUGCCAAAGGGUCCUCUCGCUUAUCCAGAUGGUUCUCACCACACUCCCAUACAAAGAUAGUCUGUUCAUCGCUGUUGCACGGAGGGUGCAACAGCUGAUCCCAGAACAACCCAUUCAGUGCUUUUUCUGAAUUUAUUCUCAGUGAGGGAGGCCAGUUGGAAAUCUCAUGGCACUUAUUACAGUACCCAGCCUCUCGUAAAAGGUGUCCUCUGUAAUACAGCUCCCAUAUUUUUAUGCAGACUAAGAUUACAUCCUGCAUCCAUCCAAAAUGAACAAAUUAAAAACAAGCACAGGAGGUAGAUUUGCCACUUCUCAUCAGUUUAUCUGGAGAUUUCAUCUGAAGCCAUUUCUCUUCAUUUUUACUCUUUUCAACAGCAGGCACAACGAUUGCUGUAUCCCUUUUCUCAAUAGAUGAUACUGAUUUUUCAUUUACCACUCUUACCAUAAUAUCUUUCUCAUGGUCUCAAAUAACACAAGAGCACAUUUCACUGCUCAAUGUAUAUACUUUAACUACUGGUGGAAUUGGUACAGGGAAAUGGUUCUGAUCAGCGAGAAAACCAUAUUUGGUUAGUCCCCAGAAAAUUAAGAUUUCUGAUGACAUAUUUCAUUUGCCAGUUGGGUGCUGAAGAUACUACUGGUGGUACAGAGGUAAAAAUGAAAUUUUAAAAGUGCUAUAAAAAUGAAAAAACAAUAUACUAAUAAAAAGCAUUGUCAAGUAGGGUCAGAGGAAGAAAGUGAAAGUCUAAUUCCAGGGGAAUACACUUGCUUUUCUUUCCCACUCUCUUGCACAACAGCCAGCCACCUGACAAUUGCCUGCUUUUGGCAUUAGUCAGCUCUUGUAUUAGCUUUUAAUGUUUGUUGAUAAUUUUCUCUCAUUUGUGCCUGUGGAUAUAAAUCUGGUUAUUUAUAUGAAAAAAUGUGUUACCAGUAAAUAUUGUUAAGUCUCUGAAGAGCUACAUUGUGUUAGCCUUCUGAUAUUUAUAUGUCCACACAUAACUAAUCAGCUUCAGAGGAAAGUAAACAGCAGAGGUCUGUUUAGCCUCUUUCUGAAGGUCAAUGGACAAAAUAAAAAGCAUCCAAGGUCACAUGAAGCACGUUUUCAAGCUGGUAUACACCAUAGUUUAUCCCGUUUCUUUAUAUACCUUUUUAUUUUGUGAGCAUCAGAACUGAUGGCACCUAUGUGCAAGAGACAUGUCUGUGAUCAAGUUAAUUGUAAUACUGCCUGCUGUGCAUACAUAUAUAGCUCAUCAUACGCUUUCUUUCACCCUGAAUUUGCAUAGCUUUUUUAAUUAUUACUAUAAUAAGCAUCCACAUUAAAAGAAUGGUAGAAAAUAAAUUAGGAAAUGCACUUGCAGCCUUAAUUUGAUCGCCUUUAUAAUAACAUUUUUAAUUCAUGCAGCAUGACCAAUGCAAUUUCUUUCCGCUGGCUGCAUGGCAUAUUCAGCUCCCACUAUGGAAUUAGGUAAGACUUGUGUAACUGAUGAAGUUGGUCCUGACAGUAUUCCUACCAAAAAGUAUAUAUCAUAUUUUCUCCUAAUAAUUUCUUAGUAUCUGAAAGCUAUUCCCAUAUUUAUCAUGUGUCUGGGCUCCCGAAUGUUGAGGUCUCUUCCCUUCACUUUCUCUGUCCUACCCAGUGCUAUUUGACUUUGAUGCACCCUUAGUGAAACUAUGAUGGAGCUUCAGUGCUUGUCCUACUAGCAGGAGCAGUGAAGUUGCAAGCAAAAAAGCAAAAUAGUCUGUGUAGUCUUGCACUGGGGAAAAAUAAUCAGAUUAAACCUCCAGACUGGCUUCUUAAAAAGUAAAAUAAAUCCUUUUAUAACAAGUAAUAAUUUACUUCUCAUAAACCUGUCAGCACCAGCCAGAGCUCAGACACUGUAUAAACAUACAUACAUCUUGGAUUAAUUACCCUUGCCUUCAGAUUCGCUGCAAGUAAUUCAGUACAAGGAUAAUGCAAGAAAACACUAAAUAUUCUGGUGGUUGGUAUUAGAAAACACAAUCUCUUGUUUAAGGGCAGUUAGAUUAAUUACCAAGAGUAUAGCUUUUGCAUGUUGUUGCAGAUGACACAGUAGCAAGCCCUCUCAAGUCGGGCAUGUCCCAAAGCAGUCCUCCCUGCAAGCCAGGUUCAGGGCCUUCUGCAAACAAAGUGAAAUCCUGCCUUUGCCCUGCUGAGUUGGGGAGUUCAGUCGUGUGGGAUGCUUUUGGCACAAAAAGUGUGAACUGAUGAGGAGUAGAUUCAGCACUGGCUUUGAAAUGCAGUGGUUGCUUUAGUUUUGAAUUACUUGUUGGUUCUACCCAUUUUCCUGUGUUUCCUGCCUGGUAACUACUUUAGUUCACUGCAGAUUUUUAAAGCCCUCCAUCCAACAUCAUGGAGCCAUAGAGUUGAGGACAAACAAACGGAACUGUUUGAUAAUCUUAUGCAAAACAUUAUAAACCUCAGGAUAUCACGUUUUCAGCAUCCCCCUGUGUGCUGAAGCCAGUGGCCAGGGUUUGUCCCUGUCUCAGGCAGGACAGCAGGAGAUUCUGCCUGGGGAGGGCACAUAAGCCUGGCUACUGUCUCCAGCCUGGUCCCCAUGUAGUCCUCUAGCAUCUCCAGUUGUUCUGUUAGGGAUGUCAGAGGGCACAUCCCUGGCUAUUCCUUUCCAUUUCCAGUUUGAGCACUGCUGUUUGACUCUCACAUCUUUUGAACCUGCAAGUGUAGUCUGCUUCCAGGAUGUCUCACAGAAGCAAGUUCCAGAAGUUAAACACCUGCUAGGUAAAGCAGCACUUCUCUUUCCUCAGUUUUGAAACACUCCUCCCAGAUUUACCAAAUGCCCCCUGCUCCUGGUAUUGCAGGAUUUCGUGAAUGACGGUUCUGCAUGUGUUUUAUUUGCUACUUUGUGAUUUUGUAAACCUUGAUCUUAUCUUGCUUCAGCGUUCUGAAAAUUAAGGCCUCAGGGUCUUACCAGUCUCUCCUCCAAAGGCAGCUGCUUCAUCCCCAGGAUCACAUUAAAUGCUCUUUUCUGUACCUGCUCAACUUUACUAUGCCUUUCAUGAGCACUGUGUGCAGGUCUGGUCUCCACAUGUCAGAAUGUGCGCUCACCACGGUUGUACACAGAAAAACGAUGCUGUCUGUUUUGUUCUCUAACGCGUUUCCUUGGGGUUUUUUUGGCUGCCACAUCAUAAUGAACGGAAGGUAUCCAGUCUUCAUUUUAAGAUAUAAAAAGAUGAAAAAAUUCCUACUUCCCUUGGUCUGUUUCUCCAGCGGCUGACCACUCUCAUUGUAAAAAACAUGCUGAGUUUUGUAUUUUAGAUUUUCAAUGCUUAACGUUCAGACUUUGUUUUUCUACCUACUGCUUGCUCCUGUCGCUGUAAAUGUGCAUAUACAUCAUAUAACUUUGUGCAUAACGUACAUAAAACUUGGGAGUUUUCAUUUUAGCAGGGGAAGUAAUACUAACAAAAGACAGAGUGAUUCUGGGCUUAGCUACCAGGAUGCAGAGAUCCUUCAACACAGCGUGCAAGAUAAAACUGCUUCUCCUGUCUGUUUUGUUUUCUUCUGAGGAAAGACUAAACCUCAGAAACAAAGCUUUGAUACUCUAGCAAGCCAGUUUGCUUGUGGCAGUAAGCAAGAUUCAGUAUAUAUUUUUCUUGGUAGCUUUUAGAGUGAGUAGCUUGAGUACUGUGUAUUUCAAUAAAUGAUAUGGGACUGUCUAUCACUCGUACAAAGACAGGAGAAAAAAAUCAGCCUUUUGAAUAAAUAUAUAUAAAUAA